This 399-nucleotide long non-coding RNA is filed under the name Rattus norvegicus (Norway rat). Its description in RNAcentral is "long non-coding RNA NONRATT030225". The record is from RNAcentral. Lineage: Eukaryota; Metazoa; Chordata; Mammalia; Rodentia; Muridae.
GCAGCGACAGCCUGGGUGGGGGUUACUGUGGGGCUAGGCCAGAGUCUAGCGUCACACAUCCCCACCACCAUGCCUUGCAGCCCCAUCUGCCUCGAAAGGUAGACACAGCUGCACAGACCAACAGCCGCCUGGCUCGACCCACAAGGCUGUCCUUGGGGGAUCCCAAGGCAAGCACUUUACCCCGGGUACGAGAGCAACAGCAGCAGCAGCAACAGCAGCAGCAGUCUUCCCUGCACCCUCCCGAGCCCAAAAGCCCAGGAGAAUAUGUGAAUAUUGAAUUCGGGAGUGGCCAGCCAGGCUAUUUAGCUGGCCCUGCAACUUCCCGUAGCUCCCCUUCAGUUCGAUGUCUACCCCAGCUCCACCCAGCUCCCAGAGAAGAGACUGGCUCGGAAGAGUACA